This 88-nucleotide transfer RNA is filed under the name Natranaerobius thermophilus JW/NM-WN-LF. RNAcentral's name for it is "tRNA-Tyr (GTA) (tRNA-Tyr-GTA-2-1)". It matches the Rfam family "tRNA". From Rfam's summary of the family: Transfer RNA (tRNA) molecules are approximately 80 nucleotides in length. Their secondary structure includes four short double-helical elements and three loops (D, anti-codon, and T loops). Further hydrogen bonds mediate the characteristic L-shaped molecular structure. tRNAs have two regions of fundamental functional importance: the anti-codon, which is responsible for specific mRNA codon recognition, and the 3' end, to which the tRNAs corresponding amino acid is attached (by aminoacyl-tRNA synthetases). tRNAs cope with the degeneracy of the genetic code in two manners: having more than one tRNA (with a specific anti-codon) for a particular amino acid; and 'wobble' base-pairing, i.e. permitting non-standard base-pairing at the 3rd anti-codon position. Lineage: Bacteria; Bacillati; Bacillota; Clostridia; Natranaerobiales; Natranaerobiaceae. The record is from RNAcentral.
GGAGAGGUACCCGAGUCUGGCCAAAGGGGGCAGACUGUAAAUCUGCUGGCGCAAGCCUUCGGAGGUUCGAAUCCUCCCCUCUCCACCA